This 212-nucleotide ribosomal RNA is filed under the name uncultured bacterium. RNAcentral's name for it is "partial 16S ribosomal RNA". It matches the Rfam family "Bacterial small subunit ribosomal RNA", at positions 587 to 793 of the family's 1533-position model. The record is from RNAcentral.
GUCUGAUGUGAAAGCCUUCGGCUUAACCGGAGAAGUGCAUCGGAAACUGGAUAACUUGUAGUGCAGAAGAGGGUAGUGGAACUCCAUGUGUAGCGGUGGAAUGCGUAGAUAUAUGGAAGGAACAACCACGUGGCGAAGGACGGCUACCUGGUCUGCAACUGACGCUGAGACUCGAAAGCAUGGGUAGCGAACAGGAUUAGAUACCCUGGUAG